RNAcentral lists this long non-coding RNA (341 nucleotides) under Coffea arabica (coffee). RNAcentral's name for it is "long non-coding RNA (CARA_LNC004690)". Lineage: Eukaryota; Viridiplantae; Streptophyta; Magnoliopsida; Gentianales; Rubiaceae. The record is from RNAcentral.
UAACAUUCAUGAAAAGGAUACAUUCGUUCUCCUGUCAUUUCAUUUCAUUUGGUUUCAUUCGUGCAUUCAUUCACCCCGUCCCUGGCUUUUGGCCAGGCUCUACCAACCUACAAGGUAAUACUCGAGUAUACCGAAACGUUCACCCAAGUUCCUAGUCGCCCGACCGAGUCCGCUUCUGGCUCGAGACGACCGGUAACAAGGGGCAAUGGCUAGUUCAGCCCAAAAGGCUUACAUUCAUGCACAAUUAACAUUUCAAUCGCUCAAUCAUUAAAAUUUCACAAUCACUUAGGCUAAGUGCGAUAAAGUACACACUCGCCUCGAAAACUCGUUUAGCAAUCAUU